AUCCGAGAGUGAAGGUUGUAGACUGUUUAAUUAGUUUGGUACGGCGGAAGUUGAGCCUAGGCUAGCUUAGCUAGUGGAUGAUGGAUGAUUCUAGGGUUUGGUUGGGUUGGUUGUGUUCCUCUCCUGCGUGGGUUUAAAAAGAAGUCUAGUUAGUAUAAUGAAUGUCAUCGUUGAGUAUGAUCAGUUUAACCGAUGAUGUUGGCGCCGGUCGGUCGGGCGGAUCUAUGAUGGAAAUAGUGGAUUCGGUUGUUGGUUGAUGGUCUGGUCUGGUAUGGUACGGUAUGGUAUGAUGUAGUUAUAGGCAGCAGCAAUGAGCAACUUGUUUGUAGCUAGUCUCUUUCUUGGUUGCAGACAGACAGACAGACAAACUUUGACAGUUUUGUUUUCCUUUCUCUUCUUGUGUGUUGCAUCCCCGUUGCUUCUUUCUUUUCCUUCUUACUAGCAAACAUGCUUGUGCGUUGCAACGGGAAAAUGCAGGGCGUGAAAUUAGGUUCAGAUACAUAAAUAUUCUAGUGGUGCGAUAUCAAUCAUGUCCAACAUGUACCUUCAUGAUCCUAGCUAGCUACUCCAUCCGUUCCGAUUUACUCGUCGUGGUUUUAGUUCAAAUUUGAACCAAAACCACGACGAGAAAGUAAAUCGGAACGGAGGCAGUAGAUAGCAUUGGCACCUUUUUUUACCGUUAAAUAAUUUUUUCUUUAUCCGCAAAAAAUAUUCUUUUUCUUUCUCCACCCAUUAUCUCAACCUCAAUUCAAACCCGCCAUCGAAUAAAUGGAAGCAAUAGUCUUCGGUCACCUUACCUGGCACCUGGUGUCUUUGCCUAUUGGUUCUGAAUAUGCAAGAAAGAUUUUCCAUACUGCAAGAAUUUGUCAUCAAGCUUGAUGCAUAAAGAAUUUGUCACCUAGAUUUAACAAAAUCUUUUGGUCUCUGAUGCCAUGAACCAGAGGAGAGAGCCUUGUGCAUGCUGGUGUCGGAAGCAAUGAGCGUCUUGCAGAACAUGCAGGGUGCUUUCACGUCAUCGCUAUCCUCUUUGUGGGGGCGGGGUGCUUCAAUAGUGUCAGUCCCAAAUUUCCUCGUUGUUCCCUUCUAGUCCUACACUCCUACUUCAAGCAUCCACCUUAUUGUAACCAUUAGCAGCACAUACUCCCUUUGUUCCGAUUUACUCGUCGUGGUUUUAGUUCAAAUUUGAACUAAAACGACGAUGAGUAAAUCGGAACGGAGGAAGUACGUUUGAUGAUUCAAGUGACAUUAACCGCAUCUGCCUUCCUGUAACCAUUACCAGCGCAUAUCUUUGAUGAUUCAACUGACAUUAACCAUGUCAAAUUCAGAUAGUGGGCCAAUCCCUCCCUCCCCGCCCCAACCACCAGCGACCCUUUUGUGUUUGGGCAAAUCACUGCCUCUUCUCUCCUAUCGGGUUUGGGAUUGUUUUCACAAGAGUAAUGCACUGAGGAUAAAUACCAUCAGGUAGGUAGUAUCCUUUGUUAUAGUGGUGACCAUUGAUCUUAAUAUUGAACUCUGGGCAGUUGCCUUCUGCAAGCCUUUCAAACAUCAGAGAACGCUGAAGCACGUUGAUGUCAUUGUGAGAGCCCGCCAUGCCAAAAAAAGAGUACCAAAUUCAAUGAUGUUGUGAAGCACGGCCUCAAGUAUGACAUUGCAAACUUUCACAUGACCUCUAGACUGCCCCUGCCAAGCAGAUGUGCAGUUCUUCCACUUGCAGUGCUUACAAUCUGUGUGCGACCAAGCAUCCUCGGAAAGCCCCCAUCUGCAUUGAUCGCCAACAACCUGGUGCAACAGUUGGCUCUCUCAAGUACUCCCGGCCAAACAUCACUAGCACAAUCUUGCAGAACCUGUACAUGGAUUCUAGGCAUGUGGCCUCACUCAUGCAGACAUACCCAUCAAUUAGAUCACAUGGUAUUUUGUAUGCAAGCACCGAAUAGCUGCAGUGCAUUUCUGCUAAGAGGAGAAGCCAACCUCUCCCAGGGGCGUCCUCCUUGCAUAUGAAAUAAUCAUCGUAUGCCACAACCCUUCGUGAAUAUGAGAACACAUGUCUAGCCAUCUGGAAGCGGCGCCGAAAUAGCUUGUGUUUGAAGAGUGGGGAAGAGGACUUGAAGUAGUCUUCCGCUCUCUCUAUUGUGAUUCAACGCCGGAGCAUGGCCCGAGAUUGAGCCCCUAAAUGUGGUCAUCGGCGACCAAAUUAGCAACCACAAACUCCUCAUCGUCCAACGAUGAAUCAUCCGAAUCGCAAAUGAAGUUGUCGAAAAAGUAUUCGUCUCCACUAUCCAUUUGUACCUUACGGGUGAAACGUCGAACACCUCACGGGCGUGGUUGAAGAAGCCGGCCGGCGAAGAGCCCCGCGCCUCUUCCAGACCAGGCAGUAGGCCUGUCGGCGUGGUGGCGGCCGUGGAGGAGAACGUCGAUUGAGGAAGCCGGGAUUGGAGCGUUGCCAANNNNNNNNNNNNNNNNNNNNNNNNNNNNNNNNNNNNNNNNNNNNNNNNNNNNNNNNNNNNNNNNNNNNNNNNNNNNNNNNNNNNNNNNNNNNNNNNNNNNNNNNNNNNNNNNNNNNNNNNNNNNNNNNNNNNNNNNNNNNNNNNNNNNNNNNNNNNNNNNNNNNNNNNNNNNNNNNNNNNNNNNNNNNNNNNNNNNNNNNNNNNNNNNNNNNNNNNNNNNNNNNNNNNNNNNNNNNNNNNNNNNNNNNNNNNNNNNNNNNNNNNNNNNNNNNNNNNNNNNNNNNNNNNNNNNNNNNNNNNNNNNNNNNNNNNNNNNNNNNNNNNNNNNNNNNNNNNNNNNNNNNNNNNNNNNNNNNNNNNNNNNNNNNNNNNNNNNNNNNNNNNNNNNNNNNNNNNNNNNNNNNNNNNNNNCCAACGGCACCAGAGGUGAGGGGGGUGGCAUGGUCGUGGGGGGUGGGGGUGGGGGUGCUACGACGGCGGUGAAACUAGGCUUGACUUGGCGGCAAGGGUACCUGUCGAGAGCGGCGUGUUGUCGGGGGAGGUUUUUGGGUGCGGGCGGCGGCCUGGGCAACUGGGCGACAAGAGUGAAGGCAGGGUGCCCGGGUGUCUUAGUUUUGGACGGGAGAGGAGGGUAAUUGCCAAUGUGCCACCGAAUGACAGGCUAGGGGGAGGACAAGGGCGGGCGUCGCGUGCGUCCACGUCAUGUCCGUGCUGAUGCAAACCCGACUCAAAUCUUGUCCUGAAAUGAGCCGCGAGCAGACAAAAAGCGGACACUCGCCCGUUUGCGUCGGCACAUUGGGCCGCAGUUUGUGUUCAUUUCGACCCAAACCGACGUGCAUGGAUAGAACGCGUCAGCGCAUUGGAGUUGGUCUUAGACACCACCCUCAUUGCAAGAAAUGUGCACGCAGUGGCAAAGAAAAGGUGCCAGACCAGGGGCACCCCACGCUCAUAGGGGUGGGGAACGACCCAACAUGGUUGGACGGUGGAGUGGCAGGCAGAAGGGGGCGUCAAGAGUACUCCAACAUCCUUUACAAGAGUAAUUCGGUGAUGGUCGAUGUAUCAACAUGUAAUAUCCACAAAUUUCCUGCGGCUCGAAGCAGCCGCAAAAACAAUAUAUGUGUACAAAUUAAAUAUGUACCCCGUGAGCUAGCAGAAAGUACCCAACGAAUCUUGCAUCGUUCAUAGGGGUGAAGGUAUACGUGUAUGUACUAUGUUCUGCUCGGUGACUCAUACAUCUCAAACUUACCUAUAAUUUUUGAUUGAUUCAUGCUAUUAUAAUACCAUCCAUAUCAAUUUAUAUUAUUAUUCUGAACUAAACUAUAAAUUCAAUGCCUAGAGCCAGUUACUGUUUUCUGCAUGUUUUUGAUUUGACAGAAAAUAAUUCGGCAUGCGUUAAGCCUGUCGAUUCGCAAAACAAUAAAUAGAAGUUAAACCUUCGCCAUGUGGGCCAACUUAUAAGGCGAGCCCACAUCCUGGGAAGGUGGUAAAGUUGUUCCAACCGAAGAUACCAAUGUUGUCCUCAUCAAAUUGGAAAAUAUGAAUUUUCUAGUUUGACCCCUUUGAACUCGUAAAAAAAUCGGUUUGAUUUCAUCUUGUUUUGUAUUAUUUGGCUUCAUUUCCUUCUAAGGCCCGUAAGCUACAUAUCUACCCAUCGAAACAUUGCUCAAUCGGCCCAAAAUAAAUUCCCCGAAAGCCCAAUCAACCCUGCAACAAAACACCCCACCUUUCCUCCUUUCUUUCGCCGCCGCUAGAGUUUCCUCUUCUAGUUAGGGUUUCCUCGAUCCCCAAUUUCCCCACCCCAGCCCUAGCUCCGAUCCACCCGAUGGCGGCCGCAGAGGGCAAGAAGAAGAUCAUCAAGCUCAAGAGUUCAGACGGUAAGGAGUUUGAGGUGGAGCAGGCGGUGGCCAUGGAGUCGCAAAUGAUCCAGCACAUGAUCGAGGACGACUAUACUGACAACGGCUUGUUGCUCCGCAAUGUCAACUCAAAGAUCCUCUCCAAGGUCAUUGAGUACUGCAACAAACAGGUCCAAGCAAAGGCCGUUGAGACAUCUGAUUUUGGUGGAGGAGCUAGGCCGUUAGGUGCUACAUCGGCUGUGCCUGCGGCGCCUGCAGAGGACCUCAAAAACUGGGACGCCAAUUUCGUCAAGGUCGACACGGCCACCAUAUUUGACCUCGCACUGGUGUGAUUACUUUCCAUCCUUUGAUUUGUUCCUUGACAUUCUCUAGAUCUAUCUUUUUACUAUCCCCCAUUGAUGGAAUCAAGAUUGUUUUUGUUUAGUGUGGCUUGUUACUUGUGUCUGAUUGAGAUUUGGAUAGAUUGGAAUAUUUCCUCGUACCUUCAUCAAGGUAGAUUUCACUCGAUUGUAUUAGGUUAGGUUACACAAUGGAUUAGGUUUAGGUCACAAAGAGUUGUUAUUGGCGAUGUAGAAAGCGGCCGACCAUACAUACUAACCCUAAUAGCUAGGUUCGGGCAUUAUCUAGGGAGCUAUAUUAAUUUACAGUUCCAUGUUCAUCUGGUCUAAUAUGCUUCACUAUAUAUGAAUAACCUAGAAACAUUUUAAAUUAUUAGAUUCACUAUCAUUUUGUUUGUAAAUUACAUAUACGGAUGAUGAUUGAGUGGUUUCUCUUUCAAUAACUUGCGGAAACAUCAGACCACACAGAGCAAUAUAUGGUCUGAUGUUUCUAUAUUUGUCACUGUUGUUUCUAGAUUUGAACCAUGCAUGAAUGUCCAUAUCUAGUGUGAAAUUAUGAUCUUGUAUGCUAGAUACCACUAUUGAUCUUUUAGAUACCACUAUUGAUCCAUGUCAUCUACGAAUGCCUUCUUCUAUCUAGCAUUGGUUGAGUAUUGAUUGUGGUUCUAUUAACAUUACAUCCUUGUAGCUAAAUCACGAGAUGAUACAUUGUGCCUGUCCAUGUUAGAAGUGAUGAUGCUUUCCAUCAUUUGAAAUGAAACCACGCAUGACUUCCCAUGGCCACUAUAAAAUCCUGAUCUUGUUUGCAAGAGUUUAGCACUAUUUACUUUUAGUUUCUUUUCUUAUAGUUAUCUUAUUUUAUCACAGAUAAGAUUUGUAUCUCACAUGUGGCAUCUUCACUUGCAAUACAUAUUCCAGUUUCAUAUAUUACUGACCCCUAAACACAUUUUUUGUGUUGUGGUUUGAUUUUACUAUGAUAGAUAACUAUGUUUCUAACUUUGUUGUUAUCGCCGCCUUUAUCAGCUGAGCAAAUCUUUUAAAUGCCACUAUAUUGAUCCAUAUUGGCUAUGAAUGUGUUCAUCUGUGUAUCAUUGCUUGACUGAUGAUUGUGGUGUACUAGCCAUACAUAUUGAUAUCCAAAUUAUUGGAUGAUGAAUGCAAUUGCCAAUGCAUUUUGAGAAGUGGUGCUUGUCAUCUGAACCCAUGUAGCUUAUGCACUUACAAAAUUAUCAUUUAUCAUGUAGGAAUGUAUGUAGCUGUGUCUGAUCUCACUCUAUUUUGUGACAGUUAUGUUAACUUUUCUUGACUAUUGAUCCAUUUAUGUUAACCCAUGUUAUGGUCUUUGAAUGAAUAUCUUUUGAUUAUUGCACACCUUGUUUUGUGUUUUAGUUUGUCGCAAAAACCUCUAUGUAGGUGGUAUAUGUAAUUAUCCAUGUUUUUGUAAACCAAUGCUUCACUCUGACACACCAUUAUUCCUUUUGCUCUUUUGCCCCCUCUCAGGCUGCGAACCACCUCAACAUCAGGGGGCUCCUAGACCUGACUUGCCAGACCGUCACCAACAUGAUCACGGGAAAGACGCCAGAGGAGAUCCGCAAGAUCUUCAACAUCAAUGAGAAAUUAAGACCCGAGGAGGAGGAGAAGAUCUGCAGGGAAAACCAGUGGGCCUUUGAGUAGAGGAACAUCUAGGCCGCGCUGAAGUAAUGAACACUUAGUAUUACCCAUGUCUACAUUUCAGUGUGCUUUUUUAUGUCAUAAUGGUUGUAAUGAACCAAGAGUCUAUAAGGUGGUGUUGGUGAACUUAUUCAGUGGUUAUGUUUGCAAAAAAAAUAUGGUGGUCAUUAAUUAUCAUUUGUCAAAUGAAUCGUUAUUGUCAAGUUGAUGUUUUGCUUGCUUAUCAUUAUUUUUUCACUGAUUUCCACCAUGUGAUUUGGGCUUCUUCGUUGGUUAUUCAUGUGUGUUUUGUUCAUCGAUCAAGAUGCAUGGAUGCUCUUGUUACUUAAGACACGGUCCUUGUUCUUCCCCUUUCUCUUUACAAUCCUAAUAAAAUAAAAAUAAAAGUUGUUGCUUAAAUUAUUUGAGGGAUCAAACUAAUUUCAGAAGACCUGAAAUUUUUAUGGUAACCACUUAUGACCAUGGCAAGGCCACACUAAAACAUAUAGGGUUUUAGGAUUAUAUUUACAAUUUUUUACAAAAAAUCCAUUUAAAUGAAUAAACGAGUGAUGUUAUUCUCUACUGACUGCAGAACCACGCCGCACCAGAAUCAGUUAACCCUCGUACACCUCUCCGUCUGUGACUCCACUGCCGUGUCUUCCCAAUACCAACUCGUUGCCGUCCCGGGCCUCGCCGUCGUCCACCACCUUGGUGCGCUCGGCACGGCGUGGUCAACGUGGUCAACAAACAAGAGUCAUCGGAAGAGGAUUAUACGUGGAGAGGCUGACAGUGGGGACGCACCAGGUCCAUGGACGCACACUGCAACCGCCUCCUUGUUACGCGGAAAUAAAAAUUAUUCCUCCCCAUGAAAGCUGGGACCCACCACGUAUAUCUUCGCAAGGAAGGAAGUGCCUCCUUAUGCCUGCUCCUGACAGCUGGGACCCACCAACAACAUCUUUGCUCCCAACGAAGUGACUCCUUAUUAUGGGCAAAAAAUAUAUGAUUCCGUCUCAGACCACUGGGACGCACCAGCUAUAUAUUCCGCCUCCUUGCCCCCCGACAGCUGGAACCCACCUGGUCGAAGCAUAUGUAGCGUUGUCUAUGUACAUACCGGUCGAUCGGUCUGUUUGCCACGAUGAACCAUGUCCGAGUAAGGAGCGGUAGCAGUUGAGGCAGUCCAGUCAAAACAGCGUACACGUACGUACAGCCAGAUGCCAAAAAAUACAUCCACGUACGUACAUACGGGUGGGGUCUCGAACACGUACUCGCGCAUACGUACGGCGAGGGCUCGUGUACAUGGAGAGNNNNNNNNNNNNNNNNNNNNNNNNNNNNNNNNNNNNNNNNNNNNNNNNNNNNNNNNNNNNNNNNNNNNNNNNNNNNNNNNNNNNNNNNNNNNNNNNNNNNNNNNNNNNNNNNNNNNNNNNNNNNNNNNNNNNNNNNNNNNNNNNNNNNNNNNNNNNNNNNNNNNNNNNNNNNNNNNNNNNNNNNNNNNNNNNNNNNNNNNNNNNNNNNNNNNNNNNNNNNNNNNNNNNNNGCAACUAACAUUUUUUAAGCUUUUCUUUAACAAAUUAAACCUUGCGAUAAAAUAGGUUGUCUAGAUAUGCAACUAAGUGGACAACCUAUAUGAUGCAAAGACAACCAGCACACAAGCAAACAAUAGAUACAACACAAGUAAGCUUGCAAAAGUAAAGGCACGAAAUAACCAAGAGUGGAGCCGGUGGAGACAAGGAUGUGUUACCGAAGUUCCUUCCUUUUAAGGGGAAGUACGUCUCCGUUAGAGCGGUGUGGAGGCACAAUGCUCCCCAAGAAGCCACUAGGGACACCGUAAUCUCCUCACGCCCUCACACAAUGCGAGAUGCCGUGAUUCCACUAUUGGUGCCCUUGAAGGCGGCGACUGAACCUUUACAAACAAGGUUGGGGCAAUCUCCACAACACUUGGAGGCUCCCAACAACACCAAGAAGCUUCACCACAAUGGAGUAUGGCUUCGAGGUGACCUCAACCGUCUAGGGUGCUCAAACACCCAAGAGUAACAAGAUCCGCUAGGGAUUAGUGGGGGGAAUCGAAUAUCUCUUGGUGGAAGUGUAGAUCGGGGCCUUGUCAACCUAUCCCGAGCAAAUCAACAAGUUUGAUUGGCUAGGGAGAGAGAUCGGCCAAAAAUGGAGCUUGGAGCAACAAUGGAGUUUAGGGUUAGAAGAGGUGAGUCUUCUUGGAGAAGAAGACCCCCUUUUAUAGUGGGGGACAAUUCCAACCGUUGCCCACCACUCAGCCCGCGGCCCAUGGAACUAGCGCUCCACAGGCGCGGUACUACCGCACUAGCGUGCGGUACUACCGCGGUGGACCGCGGUACUACCGCGAGCAAGGCAGAGACCUGACCAGGCAAAAAGGAGCACCGACAGGGCGCGGUAGAUCCGCAGGAGCGGUACUACCGCAGCCCCAUGCGGUACUUCCACAAGGCAGACACGGGCCAGGCCUGGUAGGCACAGAUGUAAAAAAUUACAUCCGUGACUACCUCCGCUGAGAAAAAUGUCGUGCAAAAAUCCGACACGGAAUUACCGCGACCGAGGGUGCGGUACUACCAUGAAGGAUGCGGAUGUAAAAAAUUACAUCUGCCCCUACCUCCGCUCCUGCUCCGGAACCUGGCCUGGUGCCACAGUACUACCGCGCCACAGCACGGUACUACCGCGGGGAGCGCGGAUGUAAAAAAUUACAUCCGCGUCUACCACCACUUGAGAGCGGUGCUAGACCAGAGCUCGCGGUACUACCGCUCGGAAGAGCGGUACUACCGUGGGAGCCUACGGUACUACCGUGCCGGAGCCCGGUACUACCGCUUGCUCCUGCGGUAGUAUCGCUCACAAGAGCAGUACUACCGCUAGCCUGAGAAGAGCAAGACUGAGGCCUUCAUUUCGCAGAGACACGAUGAGACGGAGGAACACUCCGAGGAGCUCAAGGAAAGGCGGUGCAAAAGGGAAUGUGUACGUGAGAUUCCACCCAAACCUUUCCAAAGCGGACCCCCUCUUAAUAGUACGGCUUUCCUACGACUCAACUUCACCGAACCAAACCGUAGAAAAAGGCCGUCUUCUAUAAUCUCCGAGGGGCAUCAAAUCGUCUUGUGUUUAGUCGUGAUAUAUCUGAAAUGCUCAAUACACACGAUUAGUCCUCAAAGGCAUUGUCAUCAAUCACCAAAACUACAUAGGGACAAGAAUGCCCUUACAGAGAGGCAAUGGAUGGCAGCAACGCCGUCAUGUUCAUUAGAAGCCAACCGGCUGGGCCGAAACGGAGAAACUGUGUCGUGUUCAUCGGGAGGAAACAUAAUGCGUCGUGUUUAUUGGGAGGCAAUGGAAUAUGUCGUGUUCAUUAGGAGCCAACCGGCUUAGAUGAAAUAGCCGAAACGAGGUCUGGCGUACCACAGAACGGAGGAAAUGGGCCUUCUGUUCGACCACAUAUGGUCGAAAUGGCUCCUGUUCAUCGAGAAGGGUCUGGCCUACCGCAAAACGGAGGAAACAGACUUGUAUUCGAGUGCCAACGGUCGAAACGGGGCCCUGUUGAUAGGGAGGGGUGUGGCGUACCGCAAAACGGAGGAAACGGACUUGUGUUGGAGCGCUGACGGUCGAAACGAGGUCCUGUUCAUCCACCAUCUACUGCUGUGCCCCAGCCUCCACGAGCUACUGUUCAUCCACCGUCGACCUCCUCCAGCCUCCACCAGCUACUGUUCAUCCACCGGCUACUAUUCGUAGAGGCUCCAGAGGGUCCUGUUCAUCCACCCCCAACCGGCUAGGGUGCGAUGGCCUCCUUGGGCUCCUGUUCAUCCCGCGGCAACGACCUACUACCAUGGGGUCCUGUUCAUCAAACCCCCACCGGGAACUGUUCAUCCACAACCAACCAACCGGCUCGACUCACCACGUCUUGACUCGUUCUACGUACCAUGUGCACGGUAGCAACGGUCACUGUUCAUCGAGAGUCAACCCAGCACUGGCUGGCUACGUCUCGCACGGGGGCUCGAUCGGCUUCAGUAAGCAGCAGAUGCGACCAAUCGCUCGGGUUCAGUUAGCAGCAACAACGAAGGAAUUGCUCGGGUUUAGUCAGCAGUGAAUGAAUCACUGGAGUUCAAUUAAUAGCCAAGGGAUCAAUCGCUCGGCUUCAGUAACGUAGCUAGCAGUGCGAUUGCUCGGUUUAGUUAGAGCCCAACGCCUCGCACACACUCAUGUACACGAGAGAAACACACAAACCACAAUGCAUUGCCCAGCCCCGACCUCCCACCGUAACCUGGAACUCCCUGAUAUUUUCCUCGCCCUCGCUUCUACCAUGAUUUUUCCCGUCAUGGACGGCCCAAAGAAUGUCAUGCAGCCGCGUCUCCGGCCUGCCCAGGACGGAAAACCCAUUUUCAUGGACCUAUCAUCCCAUUUUCAUCCUGUGAAAUCUAUGAUCCUAUUCUCUAUAUAUGCAGCAUGGUCUAUUAUGUAGCAAUAGCACGGUCUAUUAUGCUCUGUUACCGGCAGUAAUGUCAGUUGUUCUCUAGUAUUUGUCAUCAUAGUGCUCUCCUUCCCGUUGUUCCAUAUUUUGCAGCUGCAUCUUUGAUGUGUAUACGUUGUUGAUGUGUUGUCUUGGUAUAAGUAAACCUGACUACUUCUGUCCUUUGUCGUCAAAUGAAGUCAUGAUAUGUUGUUAGCAACCUAGGACAGGAGGUAUUUGUUCAAGUUUGCAGUUCCUAGAUCCAUUGCUGAUGAAUAUGGAGUCAUUAAUAUUUAUCCUAUUUUUCCAAGAAAUGCUUCACUUGUAAGUUAUAACACCAGUCACGGACAACACACUUAACAAUUUUCGCGUGUCCCCUAUUACAUUUGACAGGGUCGAUUCGAAAUCCUGUGCCUCUCUGGAUCAUACCUGGUUAUAGAUGACGGUGUUUCACGCACACGGAAUGGAGGUCUAUGCAUAGAGCUGUGUGGCGCUGAUCACAGGGUGAUUGGAGGAAGCGUUGGUGGAGUCCUGACAGCAGCCGGGACAGUUCAGGUGAUCACUCGCUUCUUUUUUUUCACUGAAACAUCAGCAUUUCAUUAAUUCAUCCUUGGUCUGUUGUGUUCCAGAAAUGAAUGAUGAGGUGAUUGUGCGUCUUGGUGCAGGUGAUUGUGGGGAGCUUCAUGUACGCGGGGUCGAAGAAGAGCAGGAAGGGCAAGGCCGGGGAGGAGUCUGCUGUGGCGGAGGAAGAACAGACCGGCGAUGCCAACGGGGGCAGGGGCAGGGGUGGAGACGGAGUUGGAGUCGAGGCGGAGGAAGAGGGCCUUCGCCGCUGAUGCCGAUGCCCCACGGAGAGGAGGAGCUGCCGUUGGACGCGAUGAUGAGCAGGUGGACGGGCAUGAUGCGGCAGAUGGAGUCGCGGUCCUGCGGCAUCGACAUCAACUCGAUCCGGGAGUGAAGGAUGUAGACUGUUUAAUUAGUUUGGUACGGCGGAAGUUGAGCCUAGGCUAGCUUAGCUAGUGGAUGAUGGAUGAUUCUAGGGUUUGGUUGGGUUGGUUGUGUUCCUCUCCUGCGUGGGUUUAAAAAGAAGUCUAGUUAGUAUAAUGAAUGUCGUCGUCGAGUAUGAUCAGUUUAACCGAUGAUGUUGGCGCCGGUCGGUCGGGCGGAUCUAUGAUGGAAAUAGUGGAUUCGGUUGUUGGUGGAUGGUCUGGUCUGGUAUGGUAUGGUAUGGUAUCAUGUAGUUAUAGGCAGCAGCAAUGAGCAACUUGUUUGUAGCUAGUCUCUUUCUUCGUUGCAGACAGACAGACAAACUUUGACAGUUUUGUUUUCUUUUCUCUUCUUGUGUUUGUAUCCCCUUUGCUUCUUUCUUUUCCUUCUUACUAGCAAACAUGCUUGUGCGUUGCAACGGGAAAAUGCAUGGCGUGAAAUUAGGUUCAGAUACAUAAAUAUUCUAGUGGUGCGAUAUCAAUCAUGUCCUACAUGUACCUUCAUGAUCCUAGCUAGCUACUCCAUCUGUUCCGAUUUACUCAUCGUGGUUUUAGUUCAAAUUUGAACUAAAACCACGACGAGAAAGUAAAUCGGAAUGGAAGGAGUAGAUAGCAUUGGCACCUUUUUUUACCGUUAAAUAAUUUUUUCUUUAUCCGAAAAAAAUAUUCUUUUUCUUUCUCCACCCAUUAUCUCAACCUCAAUUCAAACCCGCCAUCGAAUAAAUGGAAGCAAUAGUCUUCGGUCACCUUACCUGGCACCUGGUGUCUUUGCCUAUUAGUUCUGAAUAUGCAAGAAAGAUUUUCCAUACUACAAGAAUUUGUCAUCAAGCUUGAUGCAUAAAGAAUUUGUCACCUAGAGUUAACAAAUUCUUUUAGUCUCUGACGCCAUGAACCAGAGGAGAGAGCCUUGUGCAUGCUGGUGUCGGAAGCAAUGAGCGUCUUGCAGAACAUGCGGGGUGCUUUCACGUCAUCGCUGUCCUCUUUGUUGGGGCGGGGUGCUUCAAUAGUGUCAGUCCCAAAUUUCCUCGUUGUUCCCUUCUAGUCCUACACUCCUACUUCAAGCAUCCACCUUAUUGUAACCAUUAGUAGCACAUACUCCCCUUGUUCCGAUUUACUCGUCGUGGUUCUAGUUCAAAUUUGAACUAAAACGACGACGAGUAAAUCGGAACGGAGGGAGUACUUUUGAUGAUUCAACUGACAUUAACCGCAUCUGCCUUCCUGUAACCAUUACCAGCGCAUAUCUUUGAUGAUUCAACUGACAUUAACCAUGUCAAAUUCAUAUUAGUGCGCCAAUCCCUCCCUCCCCGCCCCAAUCACCAGUGACCCUUUUGUGUUUGGGCAAAUCACUGCCUCUUCUCUCCUAUCGGGUUUGGGAUUGUUUUCACAAGAGUAAUGCACUGAGGAUAAAUACCAUCAGGUAGGUAGUAUCCUUUGUUAUAGUGGUGACCAUUGAUCUUAAUAUUGAACUCUGGGCAGUUGCCUUCUGCAAGCCUUUCAAACACCAGAGAACGCUGAAGCACGUUGAUGUCAUUGUGAGAGACGGCCGUGCCAAAAAAAGAGUACCAAAUUCAAAGAUCUUGUGAAGCACGGCCUCAAGUAUGACAUUGCAAACUUUCACAUGACCUCUAGACUGCCCCUGCCAAGCAGAUGUGCAGUUCUUCCACUUGCAGUGCUUACAAUCUGUGUGCGACCAAGCAUCCUCGGAAAGCCCCUAUCUGCAUUGAUCGCCAACAACCUGGUGCAACAGUUGGCUCUCUCAAGUACUCCUGUCCAAACAUCACUAGCACAAUCUUGCAGAACCUGUACAUGGAUUCUAGGCACGUGGCCUCACUCAUGCGGACAUACCCAUCAAUCAGAUCACAUGGUAUUUUGUAUGCAAGCACCGAAUAGCUGCAGUGCAUUUCUGCUAAGAGGAGAAGCCAACCUCUCCCAGGGGCGUCCUCCUUGCAUAUGAAAUAAUCAUCAUGCCACAACCCUUCGCGAAUACGAGAACACAUGUCUAGCCAUCUAGAAGCGGCGCCAAAAUAGCUUGUGUUUGAAGAGUGGGGAAGAGGACUUGAAGUAGUCUUCCGCUCUCUCUAUUGUGAUUCAACGCCGGAGCAUGGCCCGAGAUUGAGCCCCUAAAUGUGGUCAUUGGCGACCAAAGUAGCAACCACAAACUCCUCAUCGUCCAACGAUGAAUCAUACGAAUCGCAAAUGAAGUUGUCGAAAAAGUAUUCGUCUCCACUAUCCAUUUGUACUUUACGGGAGAAACGUCGAACACCUCACGGGCGUGGUUGAAGAAGCCGGCCGACGAAGAGCCCCGCGCCUCUUCCAGACCAGGCAGCAGGCCUGUCGGCGUGGUGGCGGCCGUGGAGGAGAACGUCGAUUGAGGAAGCCGGGAUUGGAGCGUUGACAACGGUGCCAGAGGUGAGGGUGGUGGCAUGGUCGUGGGGGUAGGAGUGGGGGUGCUACGUCGGCGGUGAAACUAGGCUUGACUUGCUGGCAAGGGUACCUGUCAAGACCGCGUGUUGUCGGGGGAGGUUUUUGGGUGCGGGCGGCGGCCUGGGCAACUGGGCGACAACGGUGAAGGCAGGGUGCCAGGGUGUCUUAGUUUUGGACGGGAGAGGAGGGUAAUUGCCAAUGUGCCACCGAAUGAUAGGCUAGGGGGAGGACAAGGGCGGGCGUCGCGUGCGUCCACGUCAUGUCCGUGCUGAUGCAAACCCGACUCAAAUCUUGUCCUGAAAUGAGUCACGAGCAGACAAAAAGCGGACACUCGCCCGUUUGCGUCGGCACAUUGGGCCGCAGUUUGUGUUCAUUUCGACCCAAACCGACGUGCACAGACAGAACGCGUCGGCACAUUGGAGUUGGUCUUAGACACCACCCUCAUUGCAAGAAAUGUGCACGCAGUGGCAAAGAAAAGGUGCCAGACCAGGGGCACCCCACGCUCAUAGGGGUGGGGAACGACCCAACAUGGUUGGACGGUGGAGUGGCAGGCAGAAGGGGGCAUCAAGAGUACUCCAACAUCCUUUAUAAGAGUAAUUCGGUGAUGGUCGAUGUAUCAACUUGUAAUAUCCACAUAUUUCCUCCGGCUCGAAGCAGCCGCAAAAACAAUAUAUGUGUAGAAAUUAAAUAUGUACCCCGUGAGCUAGCAGAAAGUACCCAACGAAUCUUGCAUCGUUCAUAGGGGUGAAGGUAUACGCGUAUGUACUAUGUUCUGCUCGGUGACUCAUACAUCUCAAACUUACCUAUAAUUUUUGAUUGAUUCAUGCUAUUAUAAUACCAUCUAUAUCAAUUUAUAUUAUUUUUCUUAACUAAACUAUAAAUUCAACGCCUAGAGCCAGUUACUGUUUUCUGCAUGUUUUUUAUUUGACAGAAAAUCAUUCGGCAUGCGUUAAGCCAGUCGAUUCGCAAAACAAUAAAUAGAAGUUAAACAUUCGCCAUGUGGGCCAACUUAUAAGGCGAGCCCACAUCCUGGGAAGGUGGUAAAGUUGUUCCAACCGAAGAUACCAAUGUGUCCUCAUCAAAUUGGAAAUUAUGAAUUUUCUAGUUUGACCCCUUUGAACUCGUAAAAAAAUCGGUUUGACUUCAUCUUGUUUUGUAUUAUUUGGCUUCGUUUCUUUCUAAGGCCCGUAAGCUACAUAUCUACCCAUUCAAACGUUGCUCAAUCGGCCCAAAAUAAAUUCCCCAAAAGCCCAAUCAACCCUGCAACAAAACACCCCAUCUUUCCUCCUUUCUUCCGCCGCCGCUAGAGUUUCCUCUUCUAGUUAGGGUUUCCUCGAUCCCCAAUUUCCCCACCCCAACCCUAGCUCCGAUCCACCCGAUGGCAGCCGCAGAGGGCAAGAAGAAGAUCAUCAAGCUCAAGAGUUCAGACGGUAAGGAGUUUGAGGUGGAGCAGGCGGUGGCCAUGGAGUCGCAAAUGAUCCGGCACAUGAUCGAGGAUGACUAUACUGACAACGGCUUGUUGCUCCACAAUGUCAACUCAAAGAUCCUCUCCAAGGUCAUGGAGUACUGCAACAAACACGUCCAAGCAAAGGCCACCGACACAUCAGAUUUUGGUGGAGGAGCUAGGCCGUUAGGUGCUACAUCGGCUGUGCCUGCGGCGCCCGCAGAGGACCUCAAAAACUGGGACGCCAAUUUUGUCAAGGUCGACACGGCCACCAUAUUCGACCUCGCACUGGUGUGAUUACUUUCCAUCCUUUGAUUUGUUCCUUGACAUUCUCUAGAUCUAUCUUUUUACUAUCCCCCAUUGAUGGAAUCAAGAUUGUUUUUGUUUAGUGUGGCUUGUUACUUGUGUCUGAUUGAGAUUUGGAUAGAUUGGAAUAUGUCCUCAUACCUUCAUCAAGGUAGAUUUGACUCGAUUGGAUUAGGUUAGGUUACACAAUGGAUUAGGUUUAGGUCACAAAGAGUUGUUAUUGGCGAUGUAGAAAGCGGCCGACCAUACAUACUAACCCUAAUAGCUAGGUUCGGGCAUUAUCUAGGGAGCUAUAUUAAUUUACAGUUCCAUGUUCAUCUGGUCUAAUAUGCUUCACUAUAUAUGAAUAACCUAGAAACAUUUUAAAUUAUUAGAUUCGCUAUCAUUUUGUUUGUAAAUUACAUAUAUGGGAUGAUGAUUGAGUGGUUUCUCUUUCAAUAACUUGCGGAAACAUCAGACCACACAGAGCAAUAUAUGGUCUAAUGUUUCUAUAUUUGUCACUGUUGUUUCUAGAUUUGAACCAUGCAUGAAUGUCCAUAUCUAGUGUGAAAUUAUGAUCUUGUAUGCUAGACUUUAGUAGAUCUGCUCUGAAUUUGUUUAGCUAUGUUGGUUUAUCAUAGAUAGGGUGGUAUGUCGCAUGUGUCAUCCUUAGUUAUAAUACAUAAAUCCAAUAUCAUACAUUACUACUUUGAUAUUUGUAAUUAUGCAUUGUAGAUCACACACUUCUUUCUAAUUUUGCUCUCUAUGUCUUUAUUAUCUUAUAGGUUUCACUACUGGUCCAUAUGUCAAAAAUGAAUGCCUUUUUCUUCUAUCUAGCAUCGAGUUACUAUUUAUUUUGCUGUAUACAGAGUGAUAGCUAAAUCACAUGAUCAUGCCAAUGUUUCUAACUUUGUAUCAAAUAUUUAUGAUCUCAACUAAUCUUUUAGAUACCACUAUUGAUCCAUGUCAUCUACGAAUGCCUUCUUCUAUCUAGCAUUGGUUGAGUAUUGAUUGUGGUUCUAUUAACAUUACGUCCUUGUAGCUAAAUCACGAGAUGAUACAUUGUGCCUGUCCAUGUUAGAAGUGAUGAUGCUUUCCAUCAUUUGAAGUGAAACCACGCAUGACUUCCCAUGGCCACUAUAAAAUCCUGAUCUUGUUUGCAAGAGUUUAGCACUAUUUACUUUUAGUUUCUUUUCUUAUAGUUAUCUUAUUUUAUCACAGAUAAGAUUUGUAUCUCACAUGUGGCAUCUUCACUUGCAAUACAUAUUCCAGUUUCAUAUAUUACUGACCCCUAAACACAUUUUUUGUGUUGUGGUUUGAUUUUACUAUGAUAGAUAACUAUGUUUCUAACUUUGUUGUUAUCGCCGCCUUUAUCAGCUGAGCAAAUCUUUUAAAUGCCACUAUAUUGAUCCAUAUUGGCUAUGAAUGUGUUCAUCUGUGUAUCAUUGCUUGACUGAUGAUUGUGGUGUACUAGCCAUACAUAUUGAUAUCCAAAUUAUUGGAUGAUGAAUGCAAUUGCCAAUGCAUUUUGAGAAGUGGUGCUUGUCAUCUGAACCCAUGUAGCUUAUGCACUUACAAAAUUAUCAUUUAUCAUGUAGGAAUGUAUGUAGCUGUGUCUGAUCUCACUCUAUUUUGUGACAGUUAUGUUAACUUUUCUUGACUAUUGAUCCAUUUAUGUUAACCCAUGUUAUGGUCUUUGAAUGAAUAUCUUUUGAUUAUUGCACACCUUGUUUUGUGUUUUAGUUUGUCGCAAAAACCUCUAUGUAGGUGGUAUAUGUAAUUAUCCAUGUUUUUGUAAACCAAUGCUUCACUCUGACACACCAUUAUUCCUUUUGCUCUUUUGCCCCCUCUCAGGCUGCGAACCACCUCAACAUCAGGGGGCUCCUAGACCUGACUUGCCAGACCGUCGCCGACGUGAUCACGGGAAAGACGCCAGAGGAGAUCCGCAAGAUCUUCAACAUCAAUGAGAAAUUAAGACCCGAGGAGGAGGAGAAGAUCCGCAGGGAAAACCAGUGGGCCUUUGAGUAGAGGAACAUCUAGGCCGCGCUGAAGUAAUGAACACUUAGUAUUACCCAUGUCUACAUUUCAGUGUGCUUGUUUAUGUCAUAAUGGUUGUAAUGAACCAAGAGUCUAUAAGGUGGUGUUGGUGAACUUAUUCAGUGGUUAUGUUUGCAAAAAAAAUGAUGGUCAUUAAUUAUCAUUUGUCAAAUGAAUCGUUAUUGUCAAGUUGAUGUUUUGCUUGCUUAUCAUUAUUUUUUCACUGAUUUCCACCAUGUGAUUUGGGCUUCUUCGUUGGUUAUUCAUGUGUGUUUUGUUCAUCGAUCAAGAUGCAUGGAUGCUCUUGUUACUUAAGAGACGGUCCUUGUUCUUCCCCUAUCUCUUUACAAUCCUAAUAAAAUAAAAAUAAAAGUUGUUUCUUAAAUUAUUUGAGGGAUCAAACUAAUUUGAGAAGACCUGAAAUUUUUAUGGUAACUACUUAUGACCAUGGCAAGGCCACACUAAAACAUAUAGGGUUUUAGGAUUAUAUUUACAAUUUUUUACAAAAAAAUCCAUUUAAAUGAAUAAACGAGUGAUGUUAUUCUCUACUGACUGCAGAACCACGCCGCACCAGAAUCAGUUAACCCUCGUACACCUCUCCGUCUGCGACUCCACUGCCGUGUCUUCCCAUCACCAGCUCGUUGCCGUCCCGGGCCUCGUCGUCGUCCACCGCCUUGGUGCGCUCGGCACGGCGUGGUCAACGUGGUCAACAAACGAGAGUCAUCGGAAGAGAAUUAUACGUGGAGAGGCUGACAGUGGGGACGCACCAGGUCCAUGGACGCACACUGCAACCGCCUCCUUGUUACGCGAAAAUAAAAAAUAUUCCUCGCCAUGAAAGCUGGGACCCACCACGUACAUCUUCGCAAGGAAGGAAGUGCCUCCUUAUGCCUGCUCUUGACAGCUGGGACCCACCAACAACAUCUUUGCUUCGAAGGAAGUGACUCCUUAUUAUGGGCAAAAAAUAUAUGAUUCCACCUCUGACCACUGGGACGCACCAGCUAUAUAUUCCGCCUCCUUGCCCCCCGACAGCUGGAACCCACCUGGUCGAAGCAUACGUAGCGUUGUCUGUGUACAUACCGGUCGAUUGGUCUGUUUGCCACGAUGAACCAUGUCCGAGUAAGGAGCGGUAGCAGUUGAUGCAGUCCAGUCAAAACAGCGUACACGUACGUACAGCCAGAUGCCAAAAAAUACAUCCACGUACGUACAUACGGGUGGAGUCUCGAACACGUACUCGUGCAUACGUACGGCGAGGGCUCGUGUACAUGGAGAGUGAAAGGAUCGAUAUGGUUGACUAGAGGGGGGGGGGUGAAUAGGCAACUAACAAUUUUUAACCUUUUCUUUAACAAAUUAAACCUUGCGACAAAAUAGGUUGUCUAGAUAUGCAACUAAGUGGACAACCUAUAUGAUGUAAAGACAACUAGCACAAAAGCAAGCAAUAGAUACAACACAAAAAAGCUUGCAAAAGUAAAGGCACGAAAUAUCCAAGAGUGGAGCCGGUGGAGCCGGUGGAGACGAGGAUGUGUUACCGAAGUUCCUUCCUUUUAAGGGGAAGUACGUCUCCGUUAGAGCGGUGUGGAGGCACAAUGCUCCCCAAGAAGCCACUAGGGCCACCGUAAUCUCCUCACGCCCUCACACAAUGCGAGAUGCCGUGAUUCCACUAUUGGUGCCCUUGAAGGCGGUGACCGAACCUUUACAAACAAGGUUGGCGCAAUCUCCACAACACUUGGAGGCUCCCAACAACACCACGAAGCUUCACCAGAAUGGAGUAUGGCUUCGAGGUGACCUCAACCAUCUAGGGUGCUCAAACACCCAAGCGUAACAAGAUCCGCUAAGGAUUAGUGGGGGGAAUCAAUAUCUCUUGGUGGAAGUGUAGAUCGGGGCCUUGUCACCCAAUCCCGAGCAAAUCAACAAGUUUGAUUGGCUAGGGAGAGAGAUCGGCCGAAAAUGGAGCUUGGAGCAACAAUGGAGUUUAGGGUUAGAAGAGGUGAGUCUUCUUGGAGAAGAAGACCCCCUUUUAUAGUGGGGGACAAUUCCAAUCAUUGCCCACCACUCAGCCCGCGGCCCACGGAACUACCGCACCACAGGCGUGGUACUACCGCACUGGCGUGCGGUACUACCGCGGUGGACCGCGGUACUACCGCGAGCACGGCAGAGACCUGACCAGGCAAAAAGGAGCACCGACAGGGCGCGGUAGAUCCGUAGGAGCGGUACUACCGCGGCCCCAUGCGGUACUUCCGCAAGGCAGACACGGGCCAGGCCUGGUAGGCACAUAUGUAAAAAAUUACAUCCGUGACUACCUCCGCUGAGAAAAAUGUCGUGCAAAAAUCUGACACGGAACUACCGCGAUCGAGGGUGUGGUACUACCGUGAAGGGUGCGGAUGUAAAAAAUUACAUCCGCCCCUACCUCCGCUCCUGCUCCGGAACCUGGCCUGGUGCCACGGUACUACCGCGCCACAGCACGGUACUACCGCGGGGAGUGCGGAUGUAAAAAAUUACAUUCGCGUCUACAACCGCUUGAGAGCGGUGCCAGACCAGAGCUCGCGGUACUACCGCUCGGAAGAGCAGUACUACCGUGGGAUCCUACGGUACUACCGUGCCGGAGCCCGGUACUACCGCUUGCUCCUGCAGUAGUACCGCUUACAAGAGCAGUACUACCACUAGCCUGAGAAGAGCAAGACUGAGGCCUUCAUUUCGCAGAGACACGAUGAGACGGAGGAACACUCCGAGGAGCUCGAGGAAAGGCGGUGCAAAAGUGAAUGUGUACGUGAGAUUCCACCCAAACCUUUCCAAAGCGGACCCCCUCUUAAUAGUACGGCUUCCCUACGACUCAACUCCACCGAACCAAACCGUAGAGAAAGGCCGUCUUCUAUAAUCUCCGAGGGGCAUCAAAUCGUCUUGUGUUUAGUCGUGAUAUAUCUGAAAAGCUCAAUACACACGAUUAGUCCGCAAAGGCAUUGUCAUCAAUUACCAAAACUACAUAGGGACAAGAAUGCCCUUACAAUCUCCCCCUUUUUGGUGGAUUGAUGACAAUACAGGAUUUGCACAAAUGAAAUGAAUAUAGCACAAGCAAACCCCACAACUUCUAAAAUAUAGAUGAGCUCCCCCUAGAUUCGUGCUAGAGAGUAAAGUGCUUUGGACUGCACGUCACGAAUACUAGGAGCACCGCUCCCCCUAUAUUUUAGAAACAAAGCAUAUCUUGCAAUAGUAAGGCUGACACUAGAGAUGAUAUGAGCAUAACAUGAAUAGCAUGAUAAGCACAAGCUCAAUAAGGAGAUCACGAGAGAGUGCAUAUGUCUUACACCAUAUGAUAGACUUAGUCUCACGAGCACAACCAAACCAAAGCAAGCAGGUUCAACAAUGGAAAGCAAAGCAAACGACGAAACACACGACACGCACGCAAAUCCUACACUCUCUCCCCCUUUGGCAUCGAGACACCAAAAAGGCAGAGAGGUCACCUACAACACAGGUGGUAGCUCAGGCGGAAAACGACUCAUCGUCGCCAGACUCCGCAGCAGGAACAUACUCCUCCUCUGAAUCGGUCCAAUGGUAGCUCUGCUUCGCCAUCCAGGCAGUCUCUGGGGUGAUGUGCUUCUUAGAGCUGCUUGCCACGUCCUCCUCGCAAGCCCUCAAGAUCCUGAUGUCGCGACGGCGACUCUCCUUCUGAGCAACAUGGGCCUUGUACUGCCCCUGAACCUACAAGCAGAACAGCCUCUUCAUCUUGUCCUUCAGCUUCUUUGCCCAAGAAGGCUCAGCAGAGGGAGGCGUGAACGCAGAACGAUCCUCAGCAGCGUCUUCCUCCUCAAUCUCCUCCUCAUCAACAACCAUCUUGGCAGCCUCUGCAGCAGUGGUGGUGUUAGCCCAUUGGGGCUUGAUGCGAAGCUUGAUGGGCUCAUGACGAAUCCAGCCUGGUGCUUCAAACUCCUCAUUGGGGAGGAGCUUCUCCCACGUCUUGGAGAUCAGGUAAAACAGAUAAGGCCCAUAGAUGGGGACCUUACGGUUGAACACGGCGAACUGAAGCUCACACCACAUGAUAUGUGAGACAUCAAGUGGCUGAGUCUGAGCCUGACGGGCCUCCUCGCAAAGAAGCAUCAUGUCAACGAGAUAAGCAUGCACCUGUCCGAUGUCACCAAUGCGCGGGAAGAGCGUGUUCCGAAAGAGCCUAUGCAUGAUGUCAAGGAAGGGGUUGAGCACCCAUGCCUUCUUCUUGUUAGGAAGUGUCUUCUCAACAAGGUAUGGCAUGAGCUUGUUCUUGUUGGCAGAGUCAGCGUUGGCAUGAGGGCGAACUCCAACUGGCGUGUUGAGUCCUUCAUCGGGAACAAGGAGCAACUCCAUGAACUCCUUCCAGGUAGCAGACAACCGUCGACCAUUGGUCAUCCAAGUCAUGGUCCUCUCUUCAUUGACGUCGAAGUGGACCGAAGCAAAGAACUGUGCAAUGAUCUCUGGAUCAAAGUCCUUGUGGAAGGUGAGAAUGUGUUCAAUGCCGAACUGCUCCACAAGAUCCAAGGCCUCUCCAAAGUACCCACGGUGCUUCUCCUGCCUCAUGUGAGUCAUGUCAAUCCAGUGAACUUCAACAUAGAGAUUCUGCUUGGCCUUGAUCACAUCCAUAUAGAUCAGAUUCUGCUGCUUGUUCCAGAAGAGUUCAUUGCCCCGCGUGCUAGACCGGGGAGACACAUAAGGAUUGAUCUUUCUUCGAAUGACAAAUUCUGCCUGGGGCAUCUCAUCCAUGCCCAUGAAGGGAUCCUUCUGUUUGCUGGCAGUAUGCUUGGUCCUGCAUUGGGGAGCAGCAGAGGACCCCUCUGGAACAUCAUCUGGGUUGCGCAGACGCUUGGACCCUAUGUCACGGCUGGGAUUCGAGCGGCGAGGAAAACCGGAGCCACCACCUAGACACAAAGACACAAAGACACACACGGGAACAAAACGAAUCAAAAACAAACGAAAGAAAACACAAACACAUGCGACUUGGACAAAAGACAAAACGACGCAGGAUGAUCUACAGUAGUACCGGGCGGGGUUCCGGAUGUAAAAAAUUACAUCCGCGCCAACCGCGGAAGUAUCAUGACGCGGAAGCACGGAAGUACCGUGCGUGUGGCGGAAGUAAUUUUUUACUUCCGGACACCCAGCGAUAGUACCGCACCAAGGUGCGGAAGUACCGCGGAGUAUUAGAUCCAGAAGAGGCUGCGGUAGUGCCGCUCCAGGAGGAGCGGUAGUACCGCACGAAAGGAAAAACUGCCAUUGAGGACGCGGAUCUAGAUCUAGAACCGCCGCACGACAACUUCGGUACUACCAUUGAUCAAACGGAACUAUUUUGACUAUCCAAAGAGCAUGCAACUACUCUACCACUCUACAACGAAUCCCACUUGCACAUAUUUAGCCAAAAAUCUCAAGAACACCACAUGCAUCUCCCCAAAACCUAGAAACACAAGGAAGGACAAAAACGAGAGGUAUUUGGGGAAAAACCUAGGUCCAUGGCAAGAGGGCGAGGUGGGGAGCGAUCCCACCGGUCGGAAUCAGAGGAGAGCAGCCGGAGACGGAGAUCCGGCGAAGGCCUCCGGCGCCGUUCUUGGUCAGGAGAGAGAGAGACGGGGUGGGGAAAAGAGAUGAAUGGGUAUGGGGGAGUUAGAACUCCCCGUGUCCCGCUCUUAACCCCCACCUGCUCGCGUGGGCGCGGAAGUACCGCAGGUCAUCGCAGUAGUACCGCCCGGGUGGAAGUACCGCACGCUGAGCGGUAGUACUACUCGUUCAGCGGCAGUAAAAAAUUUCUGCCGCGGAAGUAGCGGUAGUACCGUGCCCCUGGAGGGCCACGCACUUGGAGAGACCCACCAACUCCUGCGGUAGUACCGUGGCACACCAUGGUAGUACCGUAAACCAAGAAAGAGCUAGGAUGCAAGAGAGAAGAAGGAGGAAAAAGCAAAACACCCACCGGGGAAACACCAACCAACACGAGAGAGAAAACAACUUCUCCAAGGAAGGGCGGUGGCCGGAGCCACCUAUAUUUGAGUCAAUUGGUAUGGCACCGCGAAGAAUUAUCCUUGGGUCCAUGACCAAAACUCGUCUUUGAAGCACAAGUACCAUCAAAAAUGGCUAAUGUGAAAGAGUUGAUUAGUAUAUGCAUAAUGGGGGAGGAAGAGUUCAUUGAGAGAACAACACUCCCCCUAUGUCCAUGCCUACAUCUAGACUAGACAACAAGUAGAGUGAGGAGGGGUGUGCACGGGCUCAAGUCACAUUGCUCGAAUCAAUGAUAUUUAGCUCAGGCCUUAACUCGCGAGAUCUUGCUUCAUCCAAGGGCUUCGUGAAAAUAUCUGCAAGGUUAUCAUGAGUGUUGACAUACUUGAGCUCGAUCUCCCCUCGCCUAAUGUGAUCCCGGAUGAAGUGAUACCGAAUCUCAAUAUGCUUCGUAUUGAAAUGUUGCACCGGGUUGAGAGAAAUCUUGAUGGCACUUUCAUUGUCACACCAAAGAGGCACUUUGUCACAAAUGACACUGUAUUCCUUUAAAGUUUGCCUCAUCCAUAAGAGUUGUGCACAACAACUACCAACCGCCACAUAUGCCGCUUCGGUGGACGAGAGAGACACACAACUUUGCUUCUUGGAAGACCAACUCACCAAAGAGCAACCAAGAAAUUGGCACCCUCCGGAAGUGGACUUCCCAUCCACCUUGUCUCCCGCCCAAUCGGAAUCCGUAAAUCCUUCAAGCUUGAAGUUUGCUCCUCUUGGGUACCAUAGGCCAAAGUUUGGGGUAUGAGCCAAAUAUCGAAAGAUUCGCUUGACCGCCACAAAAUGGCUUUCCUUUGGUGCGGCUUGAAACCGUGCACACAUACCCACACUCAACAUGAUAUCCGGUCUAGAUGCACAAAGGUAAAGCAAGGAUCCAAUCAUAGAGCGAUAUACCUUUUGAUCCACCGCUUUACCAUUGGGAUCAAUGUCAAGUUGGCACUUGGUAGGCAUUGGAGUGGAAGCCGACUUGACAUCACUUAGCUUGAAUCUCUUAAGCAUGUCUUGAGUGUAUUUGGCUUGGUUGAUGAAGGUACCUUCUCUUCUUUGUUUGAUAUCAAAACCGAGGAAGAACUUCAACUCUCCCAUUGAAGACAUCUUGAACUUAGAGGUCAUGAGAGCGGCAAAUUCUUCAUUGAAAGCUUUGUUAGGGGAACCAAAGAUAAUGUCAUCAACAUAUAGUUGGCACACAAACAACUCCCCUUUGACCUUCUUAGUAAAAAGAGUGGGAUCGAUUUGCCCAACUUCAAAUCCACGAUCUUGUAACAACUCGGUAAGGUGGUCAUACCACGCACGUGGGGCUUGUUUAAGGCCAUAGAGUGCCUUAUCGAGUUGAUACAGAUGAUCCAAGAAGUAAGGAUCCUCAAACCCGGGGGGUUGCUUAACAUACACCAACUCAUUAAUAGGACCAUUAAGAAAAGCACUUUUCACAUCCAUUUGUUGUAACUUAAAGUUAUGAUGGGACGCAUAAGCAAUCAACAAACGAAUGGAUUCAAGGCGAGCAACGGGAGCAAAGGUUUCACCGUAGUCGAUACCCUCGACUUGGGAGUAGCCUUGUGCUACCAAUCUUGCCUUGUUGCGAAUGAUGUUCCCAUGAGCAUCUUGCUUGUUCUUGAAAAUCCACUUGGUUCCAAUGAUGUUGUGGUUCCCCGAUGGCCUUGGCACCAAUCUCCAAACCUUGUUGUACUCGAAGUUGUUGAGUUCUUCAUGCAUGGCAUUGAGCCAAUCCGAGUCUUCGAGCGCCUCAUAGUCCUUUUGGGGUUCAACACAAGAGACAAACGCGUGAUGUUCACAAUAGUUUGCUAAUUGUCUAUGAGUGCUUACCCCCUUUCUUAGGCUUCCAACCACAUUUUCCAUGAGGUGGCCUUUGGUGGUGAGUUUGGAAGCAAUCUUCGCGGCACGACGCUCUAAUUCCUCCUCGGAUGUGGAAGGAGGAUGGUUAACUUGAUUAUCUUGAGCGACGUCUUGAGCUUGUUCUUGAUCUUGAGUUUGCUCAUGAUCUUGAAUCUGCUCGAGGGGGAGAACUUGACCUUGGGCAUCAUUUGGAGGUUCACAACUAUCUUGAGAUUGAUCUUGCCCUUGGUCUUGUUCACGAGGUUGAGGGCGUUCACUUUGUUCUUCGGAAGCGUGUGAGUCUUGAGUAGGUGAAGGCUCCACUUGAGUGGAGCAUUGUCCUUCUCCUUCGGCCACAAGAGGUUCCUCAAUGGGUAGAAUAUGACCAAUACCCAUUCUUCUUAUGGCUUGGGGAGGAAUUUCAUCACCUAUAUCACAAGUACCACUUUGCUCCACUUGGGAGCCGUUAUUUUCGUCAAACUCCACGUUACAUGUCUCCUCAAUGAGUCCGGUGGACUUGUUGAGAACACGGUAAGCAUGAGAGUUUGUAGCAUAACCAACAAAUAUGCCCUCAUAAGCUCUAGCAUCAAAUUUAGACAAACGAACACCUUUCUUGAGAAUGAAACACUUAGACCCGAACACCCGGAAGUACUUGAGAUUGGGCUUGUUUUCGGUGAGUAUCUCAUAAGGAGUCUUGUUCAAGCCUUUGCGGAGAUAGAGCCGAUUGGAUGCAUGACAAGCAGUGUUGAUGGCUUCGGCCCAAAAGUUGUAUGGAGACUUGAACUCCGCCACCAUGGUCCUUGCCGCAUCCACCAACGUCCAGUUCUUCCUCUCCGCAACACCAUUUUGUUGAGGGGUAUAUGGUGCAGAAUAUUGAUGCUUGAUCCCCUCAUCACUAAGAAACUCAUCCAAGGUGUAGUUCUUGAACUCGGUGCCGUUGUCACUUCUUAUUGUCAAGAUCUUUGCAUUAUGUUGACGUUGAGCUUCAUUUGCAAAGUCGAUGACGGUUUGUUGAGUCUUACUCUUCCUCUUGAAGAAGUAUACCCAAGUGUAUCUUGAAUAAUCAUCCACAGUCACCAAGAAAUACUUUCUACCCCCAAGACUAUCAAAGGAUGGAGGCCCAAAGAGGUCCAUGUGAAGGAGCUCCAAGGGGAUCUUCGAGUAGAUGAUAGUCGUGGGAGGGUGAGCCGUCUCAUGAAGCUUUCCUUCGAUACAAGCACUGCAAGCACGAUCUUUGGCAAAACUAACAUUUGUUAGUCCACGGACAUGGUCCCCCUUGAGAAGACUUUGCAAAGAUCUCAUAUUGACGUGGGCUAAACGGCGAUGCCAAAGCCAUCCCACAUCAACUUCAGCCAUUAGGCAUGUCACGGUCUUAGUGGGUUGCUCCGAAAAGUUAAUCACAUAGAGACCGUUCUCGACAUGCCCAACAAAGGCUACUUUAAGAGUCUUGCUCCACAAGAGGGCCACGGUAUCAAUAUGAAAGAAGGUGGCAAAGCCCAUGAGUGCAAGUUGACGAACGGAAAGUAAAUUGAACGCAAGGGACUCAACAAGCAUGACUUUCUCGAUCGUUAGAUCAUGAGAAAUGACAACCUUGCCAAGACCCAAUUCCUUAGAAUGUGAGGCAUCACCCCACUCGACAUUGGUGGGCAUAGAUGGGAUCUUUUGCACGUCCACCACCAAGUCCUUGCUCCCGGUCAUAUGAUUUGUUGCUCCACUAUCGAGCAACCAUGAUCCCCCACCGGAACCAAACACCUACAAGAGAUAAUUGCUUGGUUUUAGGUACCCAUUUAGUAAUGGGUCCUUUUAUGUUAGUAACAAGGGUCUUAGGCACCCAAAUAGACCAUUCAAUGUACUCAUAAGAAGGACCAACAAAUUUAGCAUAAACAUGCCCAUCACUAGCACGGCACAACACAUAAGAGGGGUUAAAGUCGCCGGCUUUGUUGGGAGAGAUGGCUUUGCCCUUUUUGGCAUCACCACUCUUCGCAUUGUUCUUCUUCUCCUUAGGAGCACCCUCUCCCUCCUUCAUAAAAGUUUGCUUAAGCGGGGGAGGUCGUUUGGUCUUGUUAUUCUUCUUCUCGUUCUUCUUCUUGUUCUUGGACUUGGGUGAGAACCCAACUCCCUCCUUGCCCACAACUUCCUUUUGAUUGCUCAAAAGGUCAUUUAGGUUCUUCUCACCUUGUAUGCAUGACACAAGACCUUUCUCGAGUUGUUCCUUCAACUUGGCAUUCUCCUCCACAAGAUGCACAUGCUCACAACACGGGUUAGUAGCAUUUGCAUUAUCAAUUAAGACCAUGUGAGGAAAUGUGGCCUUUUCCUUGGUUAGCUUAACUUGGAGUUGAGCAUGAGACUCCUUGAGGUUUGCAUGAGCACCUUUCAAGACAUUAUGGGCCUUGUCAAGUACAUCAAACUCCUCCUUGAGUCUAGCAUGAUCAACCCCAAGUUUAGUCUUCUCGGAAGUUAGCACACAAGACACAACAAGAGCAUGAUCAAGAUCUUUCUUUAAUUUGGCAUGGUCAUCGUUGUGUGACUCCUCAAGAGCCAAACGAUGCCCAUGCUCUUCCUCAAGAGCAUUAGAGAGAUCCGAUAUCUCAUCGGCAUAGUCACGACUAUGACCUUCCAUCUUAGAAAUGGUUUCUUCGUGAGCCUCGAUCAUGUCAUUGGCUUCAACAAGUUGUUCCAAGAGAGCAACGAAGUGCUUCUUGGAUUUACCCUUGAGCUUACUCAUGAAGGACUCAAAUUCAUUUACCUCCUCAUUAGACCCCUUACCAUCAUCAAAGCCAACGGUCAAAGAAGGAUUAGGAAUAAUGGUGGUUUUGAUGUUGGGGGUUAUCUUGUUGGUGGCUUUAGCCAUGAGGCACUUGGCGGUGAUGUUCUCGUCGGGUGAGUCGAAGAGAGACACCCGGGGAGUUGCGGCAAUGGCAAUGGAUGCCAUAGCCAUUGCUUCACUAUCUUCAUCAUCAUCGUCAUCCUCACGGUAUUCUUCUUGAACCACCAACCCACGAGUAGGAGUCUUCUUGGUGAAGUUGUUCUUGUUGGGGAAGGACUUGGCUUUGUCUUUUCAGAUGAACUUGCCACCAUUGUCUUCCCGCUUCUCGUAAGGACAAUCCGCAAUGAAAUGGCUCACAUUGUCACAGUUGAAACAAGUUCUAACUCGUUGCUUGCCCUUGAGGCCACUUGAGUUGUUCUUGUUGAAGUUGGGUCUUGUAUUCUUCUUGCUCCAAAAUUGUCUUGAGGCAAGAGCCAUGUGCUCAUGAUAAUCAUAUUUCGUGUCUUUGGGGUUGCUCUCCUCAUCUUCCUCUUAUUCCUCUUCUUCCACACUAACCUUGGCCUUCAAGGCAAGGUUGGGCUUCUUUGCCCUUUGAGAACGGAGCACCACAUUGUCGGCGGUCUUGUCCAAGAUGCUCAUUGCAACGAACUCAUCCAACACUUUGCUUGAGGUCAUGGAGUGGAAGUCCGGUCUUUGACGAAUGACGGAGGAUAUGGCCUUGUUGUAGGGCAUCAUGGCCUUGAGUAACUUGCGCUUGAUCCAAUUGUCAUCCGUGUCCUUGCUCCCAUGAUCUCGGAGUGAGACCGCGAGUUUGGUCACUCUUCGGAAGAGCUCACAAGGUUCUUCAUCUUCUUUCAUUGCGAACUCAUCGGCUUCAUCUUGCACCACUUCAUAGUUGGAGCGUUGAAUGCUAGCACUUCCUCGAUAGAGAGACACAACACAUUUCCAUGCGUCUUUAGCCACGGCAUGAGGUCGAAGAUGAGGGAGAUCUUCGGGAAGGAUUGCAUCUUGGAUGAUGAAGAGAGCACUCUCAUUGAAUUGAUUAUCCACGGCUUCUCGAGGGGUGAAGUUGCUUGGGUCAUGUGGAUAGAAACCUUCUUCUAUGAUUCUCCAAAGAUUAGUAUUCACAUGUUUUAAAUGACGCUUGAAACGAUAAACCCAAGAAUCAAAAUCCUCAUUUUUCACAAUCUUAGGAGGAGGACUGGCUUGAUUUAAAUGAGUAGAGGGAAUCGGUCCACCAUAAGUAGGAGGUUCCACAUGGGCAUAGAUGCCGGUGCCAUUUCUACCACUAGUAGAAGGACCCUUUUCACUAUUAGCAUCCCCCUUGUCGGAGUUAGCAUCCGUCACCUUGUUAGUGGGAUCACCCACUUUCAUCAGCGAGGUGGAUAGUUUAAGUCCUUCUAGGAAUUUAGUAAACAUGCUUUCAACCUCGGUCGUCAUGGAGGUUUUCAAUGUGUCUAAAGCCACAUUGAAUUCCUCACGGGAGACCGAGGUUCCCCCAUCGGUCGUAGAUGAGAUAGAAUUCACACUGGAGUGCUCCUCCGCACCGUCGUUGGUGUCAACCAUACUCUUCGGACGACAAAGUCCUUAAUAAAGAGACGAGGCUCUGAUACCAAUUGAAAGGAUCGAUAUGGUUGACUAGAGGGGGGGUGGGUGAAUAGGCAACUAACAAUUUUUAAGCUUUUCUUUAACAAAUUAAACCUUGCGACAAAAUAGGUUGUCUAGAUAUGCAACUAAGUGGACAACCUAUAUGAUGCAAAGACAACUAGCACACAAGCAAGCAAUAGAUACAACACAUGUAAGCUUGCAAAAGUAAAGGGACGAAAUAACCAAGAGUGGAGCCGGUGGAGACGAGGAUGUGUUACCGAAGUUCCUUCCUUUUAAGGGGAAGUACGUCUCCGUUAGAGCAGUGUGGAGGCACAAUGCUCCCCAAGAAGCCACUAGGGCCACCGUAAUCUCCUCACGCCCUCACACAAUGCGAGAUGCCGUGAUUCCACUAUUGGUGCCCUUGAAGGCGGCGACCGAACCUUUACAAACAAGGUUGGGGCAAUCUCCACAACACUUGGAGGCUCCCAACAACACCAAGAAGCUUCACCACAAUGGAGUAUGGCUUCGAGGUGACCUCAACCGUCUAGGGUGCUCAAACACCCAAGAGUAACAAGAUCCGCUAGGGAUUAGUGGGGGGAAUCGAAUAUCUCUUGGUGGAAGUGUAGAUCGGGGCCUUGUCACCCAAUCCCGAGCAAAUCAACAAGUUUGAUUGGCUAGGGAGAGAGAUCGGCCGAAAAUGGAGCUUGGAGCAACAAUGAAGUUUAGGGUUAGAAGAGGUGAGUCUUCUUGGAGAAGAAGACCCCCUUUUAUAAUGGGGGACAAUUCCAACCUUUGCCCACCACUCAGCCCGCGGCCCACGGAACUACCGCUCCACAGGCGCGGUACUACCGCACUAGCGUGCGGUACUACCGCGGUGGACCGCGGUACUACCGCGAGCACGGCAGAGACCUGACCAGGAAAAAAGGAGCACCGACAGGGCGCGGUAGAUCCGCAGGAGCGGUACUACCGCGGCCCCAUGCAGUACUUCCGCAAGGCAGACACGGGCCAGGCCUGGUAGGCACAGAUGUAAAAAAUUACAUCCGUGACUACCUCCGCUGACAAAAAUGUCGUGCAAAAAUCCGACACGGAACUACCGCGACCGAGAGUGCGAUACUACCGUGAAGGGUGCGGAUGUAAAAAAUUACAUCCGCCCCUACCUCCGCUCCUGCUCCGGAACCUGGCCUGGUGCCACGGUACUACCGCGCCACAGCACGGUACUACCGCGGGGAGCGCGGAUGUAAAAACAUCCGCGUCUACCACCGCUUGAGAGCGGUGCUAGACCAGAGCUCGCGGUACUACCGCUCGGAAGAGCGGUACUACCGUGGGAGCCUACGGUACUACCGUGCCGGAGCUAGCCUGAGAAGAGCAAGACUAAGGCCUUCAUUUCGCAGAGACACGAUGAGACGGAGGAACACUCCGAGGGGCUCGAGGAAAGGCGGUGCAAAAGGGAAUGUGUACGUGAGAUUCCACCCAAACCUUUCCAAAGCGGACCCCCUCUUAAUAGUACGGCUUUCCUACGACUCAACUCCACCGAACCAAACCGUAGAGAAAGGCCGUCUUCUAUAAUCUCCGAGGGGCAUCAAAUCGUCUUGUGUUUAAUCGUGAUAUAUCUGAAAAGCUCAAUACACACGAUUAGUCCGCAAAGGCAUUGUCAUCAAUCACCAAAACUACAUAGGGACAAGAAUGCCCUUACAGAGAGGCAAUGGAUGGCAGCAACGGUGUCAUGUUCAUCAGAAGCCAACCGGCUGGGCCGAAAUGGAGAAACUGUGUCGUGUUCAUCGGGAGGCAACAUAAUGCAUCGUGUUUAUUGGGAGGCAAUGGAAUAUGUCAUGUUCAUUAGGGGCCAACCGGCUUCUAUGGAAUAGCCGAAACGAGGUCUGGCGUACCACAGAACGGAGGAAACGGGCCUUCUGUUCGACCACAUACGGUCGAAAUGGGUCCUGUUCAUCGGGAAGGGUCUGGCCUACCGCAAAACGGAGGAAACCGACUUGCAUUCGAGUGCCUACGGUCGAAACGGGGCCCUGUUGAUAGGGAGGGGUGUGGCGUACCGCAAAACGGAGGAAACGGACUUGUCUUGGAGCGCUGACGGUCGAAACGAGGUCUUGUUCAUCCACCAUCUACUGCUGUGCCCCAGCCUCCACGAGCUACUGUUCAUCCACCAUCGACCUCCUCCAGCCUCCACCAGCUACUGUUCAUCCACCGGCUACUAUUCAUAGAGGCUCCAGAGGGUCCUGUUCAUCCACCCCCAACCGGCUAGGGUGCGAUGGCCUCCUUGGGGUCCUGUUCAUCACGCGGCAACGGCCUACUACCACGGGGUCCUGUUCAUCAAACCCCCACCGGGAACUGUUCAUCCACAACCAACCAACCGGCUCGACUCACCACGUCUUGACUCGUUCUACGUACCAUGUGCACGGUAGCAACGAUCACUGUUCAUCGAGAGUCAACCCAACACUGGCUGGCUACGUCUCGCACGGGGGCUCGAUCGGCUUCAGUAAGCAGCAGAUGCGAUCAAUCGCUCGGGUUCAGUUAGCAGCAACAGCGAAGGAAUCGCUCGGGUUUAGUCAGCAGUGAAUGAAUCACUCGAGUUCAGUUAAUAGCCAAGGGAUCAAUCGCUCGGCUUCAGUAACGUAGCUAGCAGUGCGAUUGCUCGGUUUAGUUAGAGCCCAACGUCUCGCACACACACAUGUACACGAGACAAACACACAAACCACAAUGCAUUGCCCAGCCCCGACCACCCACCGUAACCUGGAACUCCCCGAUAUUUUCCUCGCCCUUGCUUCUACCAUGAUUUUUCCCGUCAUGGACGGCCCAAAGAAUUUCGUGCAGCCGCGUCUCUGGCCUGCCCAGGAUGAAAAACCCAUUUUCAUGGACCUAUCAUCUCAUUUUCAUCCUAUGAAAUCUAUGAUUCUAUUCUCUAUAUAUGCAGCAUGGUCUAUUAUGUAGCAAUAGCACGGUCUAUUAUGCUCUGUUACCGGCAGUAAUGUCAGUUGUUCUCUAGUAUUUGUCAUCGUAGUGCUCUCCUUCCUGUUGUUCCAUAUUUUGCAGCUGCAUCUUUGAUGUGUAUACGUUGUUGAUGUGUUGUCUUGGUAUAAGUAAACCUGACUACUUCUGUCCUUCAUCGUCAAAUGAAGUCAUGAUAUGUUGUUAGCAACCUAGGACAGGAGGUAUUUGUUCAAGUUUGCAGUUCCUAGAUCCAUUGCUGAUGAAUAUGGAGUCAUUAAUAUUUAUUUUAUUUUUCCAAGAAAUGCUUCACUUGUAAGUUAUAACACCAGUCACAGACAACACACUUAAUAAUUUUCUCUUGUCCCCUAUUACAUUUGACAGGGUCGAUUCAAAAUCUUGUGCCUCUCUGGAUCAUACCUGGUGAUAGCUGACGGCGUUUCACGCACACGGAAUGGAGGUCUAUGCAUAGAGCUGUGUGGCGCUGAUCACAGGGUGAUUGGAGGAAGCGUUGGUGGAGUCCUGACAGCAGCCGGGAUAGUUCAGGUGAUCACUCGCUUCUUUUUUUUUUGCACUGAAACAUCAGCAUUUCAUUAAUUCAUCCUUGGUCUGUUGUGUUCCAGAAAUGAAUGAUGAGGUGAUUCUGCGUCUUGGUAUAGGUGAUUGUGGGGAGCUUCAUGUACGCGGGGUCGAAGAAGAGCCGGAAGGGCAAGGCCGGGCAGGAGUCUGCUAUGGCGGAGGAAGAACAGACCGGUGAUGCCAACGGGGGCAGGGGCAGGGGUGGAGACGGAGUUGGAGUCGAGGCGGAGGAAGAGGGGCCUUCGCCGCUGAUGCCGAUGCCCCGCGGAGAGGAGGAGCUGCCGUCGGACGCGAUGAUGAGCGGGUGGACGGGCAUGAUGUGGCAGAUGGAGUCGCGGUCCUGCAGCAUCGACAUCAACUCAAUCCGGGAGUGAAGGAUGUAGACUGUUUAAUUAGUUUGGUACGGCGGAAGUUGAGCCUAGGCUAGCUUAGCUAGUGGAUGAUGGAUGAUUGUAGGGUUUGGUUGGGUUGGUUGUGUUCCUCUCCAGCGUGGGUUUAAAAAGAAGUCUAGUUAGUAUAAUGAAUGUCGUCGUCGAGUAUGAUCAGUUUAACCGAUGAUGUUGGCGCCGGUCGGUCGGGCGGAUCUAUGAUGGAAAUAGUGGAUUCGGUUGUUGGUCGAUGGUCUGGUCUGGUAUGGUAUGGUAUGGUAUGAUGUAGUUAUAGGCAGCAGCAAUGAGCAACUUGUUUGUAGCUAGUCUUUUUCUUGGUUGCAGACAGACAGACAGACUUUGACAGUUUUGUUUUCCUUUCUCUUCUUGUGUUUGCAUCCCCUUUGCUUCUUUCUUUUCCUUCUUACUAUCAAA
This 34408-nucleotide long non-coding RNA is filed under the name Triticum aestivum (bread wheat). Its description in RNAcentral is "long non-coding RNA (TAES_LNC017231)". Lineage: Eukaryota; Viridiplantae; Streptophyta; Magnoliopsida; Poales; Poaceae. The record is from RNAcentral.